Molecule: ribosomal RNA, 492 nt
Filed under: uncultured bacterium
Lineage: Bacteria
Description: bacterial SSU rRNA
Rfam family: Bacterial small subunit ribosomal RNA
Source: RNAcentral
GAUGAACGCUAGCGGCAGGCUUAAUACAUGCAAGUCGAGGGGCAGCAGGGUAGCAAUAUCGCUGGCGACCGGCGCACGGGUGCGUAACACGUAUACAAUCUGCCUUUAACAGGGGGAUAGCCCGGAGAAAUCCGGAUUAAUACCCCAUAAUAGUAGAACUGGCAUCAGUUUUAUUUGAAAGCUCCGGCGGUUAAAGAUGAGUAUGCGUCUGAUUAGCUAGUUGGUGAGGUAACGGCUCACCAAGGCGACGAUCAGUAGGGGAUCUGAGAGGAUUAACCCCCCACACGGAUACUGAGACACGGAUCCGACUCCUACGGGAGGCAGCAGUAAGGAAUAUUGGACAAUGCCCGCAAGGGUGAUCCAGCCAUGCCGCGUGCAGGAAGACGGCCCUAUGGGUUGUAAACUGCUUUUACACCGGAGAAAACCUCCCCUCGUGAGGGGAGCUGAUAGUAUGGUGAGAAUAAGCAUCGGCUAACUUCGUGCCAGCAGCCG